RNAcentral lists this small RNA (100 nucleotides) under Pongo abelii (Sumatran orangutan). RNAcentral's name for it is "processed transcript". The record is from RNAcentral. Lineage: Eukaryota; Metazoa; Chordata; Mammalia; Primates; Hominidae.
UGGUGGACGACCAGGCCGUGUGCGACUGCUCGCGAACCGGCUUCCGCGGCAAGGACUGCAGCCAAGCUGGUGUGAGCAAUCUACACAUAAACUCCAGGUG